This 253-nucleotide ribosomal RNA is filed under the name uncultured bacterium. Its description in RNAcentral is "partial 16S ribosomal RNA". It matches the Rfam family "Bacterial small subunit ribosomal RNA", at positions 524 to 776 of the family's 1533-position model. The record is from RNAcentral.
UACAGAGGGUGCGAGCGUUGUCCGGAAUCACUGGGCGUAAAGGGCGCGUAGGCGGUCUGCUAAGCGUGUGGUGAAAGUCGGGGGUCAACCCCCGAUCGGCCGUGCGAACUGGGAGGCUUGAGCACUGUAGAGGCAGGCGGAAUUCCUGGUGUAGCGGUGGAAUGCGCAGAUAUCAGGAGGAACACCGGUGGCGAAGGCGGGUCUCUGGGCAGUAACUGACGUGAGGAGCGAAAAGCGUGGGGGAGCGAACAGG